UACGUAGGGGGCAAGCGUUAUCCGGAUUUACUGGGUGUAAAGGGAGCGUAGGCGGUCCGAUAAGUCUGGUGUGAAAGCCCGGGGCUCAACCCCGGGACUGCAUUGGAAACUAUCGGACUUGAGUGUCGGAGAGGUAAGUGGAAUUCCUAGUGUAGCGGCGAAAUGCGUAGAUAUUGGGAGGAAUACCGGUGGCGAAGGCGGCUCCCUGGACCGGUACUGACGCUGAGGCGCGAAAGCGUGGGUAGCAAAC
RNAcentral lists this ribosomal RNA (250 nucleotides) under uncultured bacterium. RNAcentral describes it as "partial 16S ribosomal RNA". It matches the Rfam family "Bacterial small subunit ribosomal RNA", at positions 524 to 773 of the family's 1533-position model. The record is from RNAcentral.